ACAUACCAUUGCCCUACAUACAUGCUCUCUCUCACCCUCCAUCAAACAACAGGGAAGAAAAGUUAUAUAAGAACAUCUGCAACCCAUUGAUCUAGGCUUAGAGUAGAAAACAAAGGAAGGGAGGAACAAAACAAAAAAAACAUCGGCAAGAAAUAAAAGGAAAAAAUAUAUGGGGUUUCUCUGGGAGUUGAACCCCAGAUCCCCUGAUACAACACCCCACAACACAUCCACUGCGCUGCUACUACUGAUGUUAACAGGAGAAGGGAAAAUGGCAAGGUAAGC
RNAcentral lists this long non-coding RNA (282 nucleotides) under Hordeum vulgare. Its description in RNAcentral is "long non-coding RNA (HVUL_LNC013926)". The record is from RNAcentral. Lineage: Eukaryota; Viridiplantae; Streptophyta; Magnoliopsida; Poales; Poaceae.